RNAcentral lists this transfer RNA (66 nucleotides) under Branchipolynoe segonzaci. RNAcentral describes it as "Branchinotogluma segonzaci tRNA-Thr". It matches the Rfam family "tRNA". Rfam says of the family: Transfer RNA (tRNA) molecules are approximately 80 nucleotides in length. Lineage: Eukaryota; Metazoa; Annelida; Polychaeta; Phyllodocida; Polynoidae. The record is from RNAcentral.
GUAUUAGAAGCUAAUAUAUAAGCAUUGGUCUUGUAAAUCAAAGAUAGAGGUAUUCCUCCUAAUACU